GACGAACGCUGGCGGCGUGCUUAACACAUGCAAGUCGAGCGGUAAGGCCCUUUCGGGGUACACGAGCGGCGAACGGGUGAGUAACACGUGGGUGACCUGCCCUCAGCUCUGGGAUAAGCCUGGGAAACUGGGUCUAAUACUGGAUAUGACUCCACGGUGCAUGUCGUGGGGUGGAAAGCCUCGUGCGGCUGAGGAUGGGCCCGCGGCCUAUCAGCUUGUUGGUGGGGUGAUGGCCUACCAAGGCGACGACGGGUAGCCGGCCUGAGAGGGCGACCGGCCACACUGGGACUGAGACACGGCCCAGACUCCUACGGGAGGCAGCAGUGGGGAAUCUUGCGCAAUGGGCGAAAGCCUGACGCAGCGACGCCGCGUGAGGGAUGACGGCCUGGUGUAAC
RNAcentral lists this ribosomal RNA (395 nucleotides) under uncultured bacterium. RNAcentral's name for it is "bacterial SSU rRNA". It matches the Rfam family "Bacterial small subunit ribosomal RNA", at positions 28 to 429 of the family's 1533-position model. The record is from RNAcentral.